This 453-nucleotide ribosomal RNA is filed under the name uncultured soil bacterium. RNAcentral's name for it is "bacterial SSU rRNA". It matches the Rfam family "Bacterial small subunit ribosomal RNA", at positions 26 to 472 of the family's 1533-position model. The record is from RNAcentral.
AGAUUGAACGCUGGCGGCAUGCCUUACACAUGCAAGUCGAACGGCAGCACGGGAGCAAUCCUGGUGGCGAGUGGCGAACGGGUGAGUAAUACAUCGGAACGUGCCCAGUUGUGGGGGAUAGCCCGGCGAAAGCCGGAUUAAUACCGCAUACGCCCCAAGGGGGAAAGCAGGGGAUCUUCGGACCUUGCGCUAUUGGAUAAGCCUGCGUCGGAUUAGCUAGUUGGUGGGGUAAGGGCCUACCAAGGCAACGAUCCGUAGCUGGUCUGAGAGGAUGAUCAGCCACACUGGGACUGAGACACGGCCCAGACUCCUACGGGAGGCAGCAGUGGGGAAUAUUGGACAAUGGGGGCAACCCGUGAUCCAGCCAUGCCGCGUGUGUGAAGGAAGGCCUUAGGGUUAGUAAAGCACUUUCGAGGUGGGAAGAAAAGCGUGGCGGACUAAGUAUCCGGUCGG